UGUAACACGUCAUGCAAUUCCCCCGCACGUAUUAUAUUGCAUGUGACAAAUAACAAAACCGCUAUUAUAAACUCGCGGAAAAUAGCGCGAAAUGAUCAUUUGUUACUGACGAGAGAUAAAUUGCUCUUGUCGACGCGGCACUGGAAAUUUUCAAUUUGCACUGGUAUUUGUAUAAUUUCCUAGCGCUGGUACUUUGUGUGGUGUAAUUAAAAUUACUUUACAACGUGUAAACAGAGGAAGUAUGCGGUCAUUUUAGUAAUUUCAUGAAAUUGUUCUUUCCCACAGAACAUAAAUAGUAGUGUGGUAUUGUUCAGAUUGUGGCACGUCUGAAGGGUUCUUAAGCAAAAAUCAAUGAAAGUUAUAGAGCAGUUUAGUUAGAUUAUCAUUUUAGAUGGCAGAGUUAUCAACUAAACAAAUCAAACAUCAAAAUUGAUCAUCAAAAAUAAUAACAGCAAUUAUUUCUAUACAAUAUUGAAUAUCAUGGAAUAUCAAGAUCAAAAUACAAUGACAUUGAUGAGAAUUAAAUUGAUGGUUCGGAAAUCACGAUAGCAAUCUUAAUUGUACAGUUCAACCAAAAAUUUGGACAUUUCAAAGCGAUCACAGAUCAAAAAGGUCUUGUUUUAUACAAGCAAGUAAAAUUAAAACUACAAGUCAAAUUAAACGUAACAAUGAAGUUGAUAGGUAUAAAGUUAGUUUUAGUGCUACUAUUGGUCCUGAUGACGUCAUACGUUCUUUGUGAAGACGCUACUACUACACCAGCGACCACGGCUCAGGAAGAAGAAGAGGAAGAAAUGCCUCAGAAGAGAAGUUGCUCAAUUUGGUGCUGGAUCCAGAAGAUAGCCAUGUUUGUCAUCUCGCAAUUGCUAAGUAGCUAGAAGAUCGUGAAGGGAAUCAUUUUGAUUAAAUGGUGGGUUCUGAAA
Molecule: long non-coding RNA, 920 nt
Organism: Maniola jurtina (meadow brown)
Lineage: Eukaryota; Metazoa; Arthropoda; Insecta; Lepidoptera; Nymphalidae
Exons: 2
Source: RefSeq, a predicted model, not a curated record